AUUGAACGCUGGCGGCAUGCCUUACACAUGCAAGUCGAACGGCAGCAUGGAGAGCUUGCUCUCUGAUGGCGAAUGGCGAACGGGUGAGUAAUACAUCGGAACGUACCUUAUCGUGGGGGAUAACGCAGCGAAAGCUGUGCUAAUACCGCAUACGCCCUGAGGGGGAAAGCGGGGGAUCGCAAGACCUCGCGCGAUUAGAGCGGCCGAUGCCUGAUUAGCUUGUUGGGGGGGUAAAAGCCCACCAAGGCGACGAUCAGUAGCUGGUCUGAGAGGACGAUCAGCCACACUGGGACUGAGACACGGCCCAGACUCCUACGGGAGGCAGCAGUGGGGAAUUUUGGACAAUGGGGGCAACCCUGAUCCAGCAAUGCCGCGUGAGUGAAGAAGGCCUUCGGGUUGUAAAGCUCUUUUGUCAGGGAAGAAACACCGGCUCUAACACAGUCUGGGAAUGACGGUACCUGAAGAAUAAGCACCGGCUAACUACGUGCCAGCAGCCGCCGUAA
RNAcentral lists this ribosomal RNA (503 nucleotides) under uncultured bacterium. Its description in RNAcentral is "partial 16S ribosomal RNA". It matches the Rfam family "Bacterial small subunit ribosomal RNA", at positions 30 to 523 of the family's 1533-position model. The record is from RNAcentral.